CCGCUAAUGACCUAAUGACGAAGGUAGUUUCUCUUUACUUCUCUUGGAAAUUACUUGAAGUCGGCUUUGCAGCGGAGCUGGAGUGAGGGGCCGGGCAGAAGCCCGGGGCCUGUGCGCCGUCGGCCGCAGGUUCCCGAAGUUCAUUGUCCUCUUCAUCUGACGUAAGAGCUGCAGAGCAGACAUGGAUAUGGAUGCAUCUGGGAGUGUGUCACAUGGAAACCACACACUUAGCAGAGGUUCAGAAUCUGAGUUCUCAAGGUGAGCCUCCUGGAUUUUAUUUUUAAAUGAAAUCA
RNAcentral lists this long non-coding RNA (293 nucleotides) under Canis lupus familiaris (dog). RNAcentral's name for it is "lncRNA (ENSCAFG00030002465.1)". Lineage: Eukaryota; Metazoa; Chordata; Mammalia; Carnivora; Canidae. The record is from RNAcentral.